RNAcentral lists this long non-coding RNA (24309 nucleotides) under Nicotiana benthamiana. RNAcentral's name for it is "long non-coding RNA (NBEN_LNC008289)". Lineage: Eukaryota; Viridiplantae; Streptophyta; Magnoliopsida; Solanales; Solanaceae. The record is from RNAcentral.
CCUGUCUUGCGUCCUUUUCAUCUAAUGACUUCCUUUUUAACUGGCCAAUCUGCCCCAACCUAUCAUGCAUAACAAUAAUUUGAUUGGAUUAUUAAAAAGAUGGUCCCAACUUAUGGAUAUUUUCUGCUGAUUCUUAAACUCUAAUCAGUUGGAAGUUUUUGUUCCUUAAAUAGUAAAACAGUUUGAGAAUGAUAAGUAAUACUCGGCAUUUGCUAUCAGAAAAGCCAUAAUAUUCACCUCUCUGCAUGCACUCAGUUUCUAAUUAAUUUAUUUCUGAAAUUAUCAGGGUACUCUUAGAUCUACGGAACAAGGAGAAAUGGUGCAGGCAAAAUUUGGACUACCCCAAAUGGCUGUUCGUCAGCUAGAGAUUUACACCACGGCUGUUCUACUUGCUACAUUGCGUCCCCCACAGCCUCCAAGGGAACAAAAAUGGCGUAAUCUGAUGGACGACAUAUCAAAUUUGAGUUGCAGGAGCUAUAGAAGCACAGUAUAUGAAAACCCUGAGUUCCUCGCUUACUUCCACGAAGCAACACCUCAGGCUGAGCUAGGAUUUCUCAACAUUGGUAGUCGUCCAACAAGGAGAAAGAGUACAGGAGGAAUUGGGCAACUCCGUGCAAUUCCAUGGGUAUUUGCAUGGACCCAAACAAGAUUUGUCCUCCCUGCAUGGCUUGGAGUUGGAGCAGGCUUGAAGGGUGUUUGUGACAAGGGACAUACAGAAGACUUACGAGCUAUGUACAGAGAAUGGCCUUUCUUCCAGUCCACUGUUGAUCUUAUAGAGAUGGUUUUAGGAAAAGCUGACAUUCCUAUAGCGAAGCAUUAUGAUGAUGUUCUAGUAUCUGAAACACGAAGAGAACUUGGUGCAGAUCUGCGGAGGGAGCUAUUGACGACAGGAAACUAUGUCCUAUUGGUUACUGGUCAUGAGAAGCUAUCUGCAAACAACCGUAGUUUGAGGAGGUUGAUCGAGAGCAGGCUUCCAUAUCUGAAUCCAAUGAAUAUCCUGCAGGUGGAGAUAUUAAAAAGGUUGAGGCGUGAUGAAGACAACACUAAGCUUAGAGAUGCCUUGCUCAUUACGAUAAAUGGUAUUGCUGCAGGGAUGAGGAACACUGGCUAAAGAUGGCCAAGAGGUUUAGAUUGAUACAAAAUACAUACAGUGCUUAUGGAAAAUGUAGAUAAAAUCUUGUGCUUAAUUAUCCUUCUAUAACCUAUCAGUUGUUUUGUUUUCGCUGCCUGCAGAUUCUCUAUCGUAUAUGUCGUGGUUAAGCAUUUGAAUGAUUAAACAGUUUUGGGCUUUUUCUCAAAUGAAAUGGCUUUUCUUUUGUUCAAUGGUUAUAUGUCUUAUUUACAUCCCAUAAUUCGUCUUCAAACAGGUCUGGGCAGAACAGAAGUGUAAGAUUCAAUAUAUUUUCAAGGAAGUGAUGCAAGCUAUGUUACUCGGACUCUUCAAAAAUAUUGUUGGGUGCGUGUCGGAUCCUUCAAAUUUAGUAUUUUCUUUGGAGAAUUCGAUACGGGUGCGGCAACACUUUUGGAGAGUCCGAGCAACAUAGGAUGCGAGAAGCAAAACUUUCACAUGUUAGGUAUGCAAGCUAGUACAUGGGUGAUGGCCCUUGGCGCUCCCGUGAUAUUUGUCUAUGAUAAUUGUAGGCCCUAGACACUGAUGUGAGGUUAAAGUUUUAACCAAUGCAACAUACUAUCCAUAAACAUUAUACUCCCAUAAUAUAAUAAAGCAAGAAAGUGAAAAAUUUCAAAAAUAGUAAAAUGGAAAAAUUGCCCCCUUUUGAUUAGCUUGUUUCCAAGAGGGAGAGUUUUAUGGCAAUCUCAGGCAUACUCAAAUAUUGGGCCUAGGUUUGUUGAUGGAUCUGGUCUUGUCGAACAGGUUCGAAUUCGAGGUUCGAACAUAAAAGCUCAUUAGCGAGCUAAAUUGGUUAGUGGUGGAAGCAAUUCCUACGAACUGCAAACCAAAGGAUGUACUUGCCCCUUCGUCGGCCAUUACCGUUGUGAUAUUUGUCUUUGAUAAUUGCUCACUAAUUUCACUUGCCUCUACGGCGCUCCCUUGAUAUAUUGCCCAUAAUCAUUAUGAAAUAUUUGGUUCGAGCCCUGCCCUUAAUGGGCCAACUCGCAACGUAAAUUUGGGAGAAAUUAAAAAAUAGCAAGAUUUACAAGUGGUCAUUUAAAAACAGCCACAGUUUCAAAGGUAAUCAAAAUUUAGCCACUUUUCAUGUAAAGAUAAAUCUGAACGAAAACAGUGUUCAAAGUCCAGAAAAAUAUUUCAGUUCGGGAGUUUGGGAGCGGGUGGUUGAGGUGAGUGUGAGGGAGAUGACGUCUAUAUCCGUAAACCAGUUCGGUUUCAUGCCAGGCCGCUCCAGUACAAAAGCUAUCCACCUUGUCAGGAGAUUGGUCGAACAGUUUAGGGAUAAGAAGAAGGAUCUGCACAUGGUUUUUAUCGACUUGGAGAAGGCGUACGACAAGGUCCCAAGGGAGGUACUAUGGAGGUACCUGAAGGCGAAGAGUGCGCUGGAAGCCUACAUCAGAGUGAUGUACGAUGGAGCUAAGACUAGGGUUAGGACGGUGGGUGGCGACUUAGAUCAUUUUCCGGUGGUUAUGGGGCUUCAUCAAGGAUCUGCGCUUAGCCCUCUCUUAUUUUCNNNNNNNNNNNNNNNNNNNNNNNNNNNNNNNNNNNNNNNNNNNNNNNNNNNNNNNNNNNNNNNNNNNNNNNNNNNNNNNNNNNNNNNNNNNNNNNNNNNNNNNCUCUUGUUUGCUUUGGUGAUGGAUGCUCUAGCUCGCCAUAUUCAAAGGGAUGUGCCAUGAUGUAUGCUAUUUGCGGAUGACAUAGUCUUGAUAGACGAGAUGAGGGUCGGUGUUAACGAGAGGUUGGAGGUUUGGAGACAGACUCUAGAGUCUAAGGUUUCAAACUAAGCAGGUCUAAGACAGAAUACCUGAAGUGUAAGUUUAGCGCCGAGUCGAGCGAAGUAGGCAGGGACGUGAAGCUUGGAUCUCAGGUCAUCGCCAAGAGGGACAAUUUCAGAUAUCUUGGGUCGGUGAUUUUGGGGGACGGAGAGAUCUACGGGGAUGUCACCCACUGUAUAGGGGCGGGAUGGUCGAAUUGGAGGGUUGCAUCAGGAGUCUUGUGUGACAAAAAAGUGCCACAGAAACUCAAGGGGAAGUUUUAUAGAGCUGUGGUUAGACCUGCCAUAUUGCAUGGGGUGGAGUGCUGGCUGGUGAAAAACUCUCAUGUUCAGAGAAUGAAGGUUGCAGAGAUGAGGAUGCUCAGGUGGAUGUGCGGGCUCACCAGGUUAAAUAAGAUUAAGAAUAAAGUUAUUGGGGAAAAGGUGGGGGUGGCACCGGUGGAUGAGAAGAUGCGGGAAGCGAGACUCAGGUGGUUCGGGCAUGUGCAGAGGAGAAGCCCCUAUGCCCUGGUGAGGAGUUAUGAGUGACUGGUAGUGGUUGAUGCGAGUCAAGGUAGAGGGAGGCCCAAGAGGUACUGGGGAGAGGUGAUUAGGCAGGACAUGGCUAGAAUUCGGAUUUUCGAGGACAUGACCCUUGAUAGGAGAGUCUGGAGGUCUAGUAUCAGAGUUGUAGGAUAGGGGCUCCUAGUAUUUUUCAUACUUCUUUCCCGAGGUUGGGGGGUUUGGUAGGGCUCUCUAUAGAUGAUUUGUGUAUUGUAUUGUGCCCCCUCAUGGUAGUUACUGGUUGAUAUUACUGCAUGCCAUUUUAUUUAUGGUUUACGGUUUAUGUCUAGAUAAUUAUUUAUGUGAUUUCUGCUGGAGUUACUAAUGCUCUCUUGUUUUCAUUUUUCUUUUCCUUUUCCUGAACCGAGGGUCGAUUGGAAACAACCUCUCUGCCCUUUCGGGUAGGGGUAAGACCUGUGUACGUAUUACCCCCUCCCCCCAGAACCCGCUUUGUGGGUUUAUACUGGGUAGUUGUUGUUGUAUAAUAUACUGGAGUUCCAGUAUAAUAUACCGGACCAGAAUAAUAUACUGGAGCCAGCAAAGUUUACUGGUCCAGCAUAAUAUGCUGGAAGUUCAUACACAGGUACACCGAAUUCCAGUAUAUUAUGCCGGACCGUCUCUGUUACAGCAAAAUAGUAUAUAUUUUUUAAUGAUUUAACAAACACUGACUAUUUUUGAAUAAUCAAUCUUAUUAGACCGUACUACUUCUACCGUAAAUUUAAAUUAGUUAGGUCAGUGGGUUUUGGGUGCCAAAUCAUGAUUAACCAAAAGGAAUGUGUAGAACAAGGUUGAUCUUCUGAGAAAAAAAAUAAUCCAUAAAAUGCAAGUGUUUCCCUCCACCACCACGAGUGGAAUCUAAGAUGAUCUCAUAUACAAAUCACAAUACACAACUAUCCAGUACCUUUGGCCAUUUUUUUCCCUUUAAAUAAAUAGGAUUCUAUAUGUUCUUUAAGAAAGAUUCUAUCUCCAGCAAAAAUGAGUGAGGUUCAAUCAUCGUUUCAAAAGCAACGUAUAUUUGGGAAAUCGUCCAGCAGCAUUAGAAUGCUUUCAUUUUGGUAAAAACCUUGGUGCUGUACAGCUUUGUUUUUCCAGUCUUUCCUCAAGCAAUGUACCAUACUCAUAGAGUGUCUACUAAUGUUUAUCUUAUGAAGAGGCGAAUCCAAGACUUCAAGUUUAUUAGUUGACCUUAAGUUAAUUAGUAUAUAAUAAUAAUUAGGUUCACAGUCAAAUAUUUACACUAUUUAUUAAAUUUCUUAAUAGAUAUACAAAAAUUACUGGAUUCACGUGAACUCGUGACAUUCUAAAUCCGCCCAUAAAUUCCUCUCCUUCUAAUUAUGGUGUUUUCUUCGUUUAUUCUUCCAACUGUUUCAUCUUUCAUGCAUGUACAUGUACGAUAAAAUUACAGAUAUGCUUUACAUUAUAGGGUUGUGGGAAAAGUCAUUUCAUUUCUUUUCUUGAAUUCUUGUUUCUGACCCCCAACAGGCAAUUAACUUUCCACCAUUCAGUUAUUCACUUUCUAAAAGAAGAAAGAAAUUGGAGAUCAUGAGAUCCAUAACUGAUCUGUAUAUGUACAUCUUAAGCGGAGAAAAUUUUUCUCUUGACAUUAUGGUCACCAAUAUUAUCAUGAAAAUCUCUUCCAACAACAACAACAACAACAAUCCAGUAUAAUGUCACUUAGUGGGAUCAGGGGAGGGUAGUAUGUACGCAUACCUUACACCUAUUAUGAGGUAGAGAGGCUGUUUCCAAAUAGACCCUCCGCAUCCUUCCCUCCAAGAAGACUCGAACUCACAACUUCUUGAUUGAAAGUGGAGUUCGAUUACCAUCAGAGCAACCCCUCUUGUCCGGUGAAAAAGGCAAUCCGGUAAAUGAUGUCUAUGGACAUGCAAGGGGAAAUAUUUUGAUGAUGAACCCUUUACCUAGCUUAUAUCUUGCUUAUUCUUUAGUAUUGCAGGAUGAGAGUCAGAGAGAGAUCUAUAUGAAUCCCCUCCUCUUUGCUGACUUUUCAACCUUCAUGGUGGGCACUCAAGCUAACCUUGCUACACAAGGAGCUUUUGUGCAAAGGAACAACAAACAAGGACAAAGAAACACUGGGCAAUUUCAGCAGCAAUCACAAAAAUAAGGAAACAACAUGCAAUUCCAAAAAUCAGGAAGCAAUGUGUAGAAAAAUGGGAAUACUCCACAAAGAAACUUUGUUGCAAAAGGAAAGAAUCACAAGUUCAAUCCUAACUUAUCUUGCGCCCAUUGCAAGAAAAUAGGACAUUCAGUGGGAGAUUGCUACAGAAUCAUUGGUAUUCCUGAAGAUUUUAAAUUCACCAAUCCUAGAGGUUCUCAAGUUCAAUUCAGAAGCAAUGCAACUAUAACAGGGGAACAAGGAGAGGACGUAAGCAACUAUUCUGAAGUUCUAAAUCAGCACCUUUCCAAGGAUCAAUUUUCACAAUUAGUCUAGAUGAUAAAGCAAGUAAAAGCUCCAGAUGCAGGGAGUUUCAAUUCAGAAAUCAACACAAAUGCAGUAGCUGGUACUAUUAUGAAGUACACUGGAAGUUCUUUUUCAGUUUUUAACACUAAUACUUGGAUAACUGAUUCAGGAGCCUCAGAACAUAUGUGUUCUGAUUCAAAUGCUUUCAUUUCUUUAAAACCCCUUCCAGUUCCUUUACACAUAAAUCUGCCCAAUUCUUUGAAGGUGACAGUCACACAUACUGGGAAGAUUCCUAUCUCUGCUGAAUUCAUUUUAGAAAAUGUCCUUCAUGUUCCCAGUUUCAAAUAUAACCUGUUAUCAGUUAAUAGGUUUUGUGUUCAAUUUCACUACUUAAUGUUAUUUACUCAUAACUUGUGUCUCUUGUAGGCCCCUUUAGUGAAGAGGGCUCAAGUUUUUGGUGAAGAAAAGGAAGGACUAUAUCUGUUGCAACCUAGUGGUGAUAGGUCUAGCUCAAAGGAGAAGUGUUUUUUAUCUUCAAAUCAACGUGUUCGUGUUAUUUACUCAUAAUCUGUAUCUCUUACAGGCUCUUUUAGUGAAGAGGGCUCAAGUUUUGGUGAAGAAAAGGAAGGACUAUAUUUGUUGCAGCCUAGUGGUGAUAGGUCUAUCUCAAAGGAAAAAUGUUUCUUCAAAUUGAAGUGUUCUUAGUCCAGUUUCAGUUUCUUUUCCCUUUUCUGCAAAGCAACUUCUGAUCUAAACCUUUGGCACAUUAUAUUGGGGUAUUUGCCUUUUUCAUCAAUGAAGCAUCUCAGUUUUAUUUCAAGUUUCCUAAUUCUGAAUGUUUCUGUGAUAUUUGUCCCCAAGCUAGCAAACUAGGAUUCCUUUUCCUUUGAGUCAAAUUACUUCCAAAAGAGCGUUUGAAUUUAUUCAUGUUGAUACAUGUGGACCCUAUAAGAAAUCCACCUACAAUGGCUUUAAGUACUUCUUGACUAUUGUGGAUGACUUUAGCAGAGGAACUUGGACUUUUUUAUUAAGCACAAAAUCUAAUUCUUUUUCACUUUUGAAGGAUUUUCUCACUAUUGUUGAAAGGAAAUUUGGGGUAAAGGUCCAGAAACUAAGGGCAGACAAUACAUUUGAACUAGGUAAAGGCUCUCAACAGGUUUCUUUCCUUAGUUCUCAAGGAAUCUUGCAUCAAACAUCUUGUGUAGACACCCCUCAACAUAAUGGGAUUGUUGAAAGGAAGCACAUGCACCUUCUAGAAAUGGCAAGGGAUUUAUUGUUUCAAUCUAGGUGCCUAUACCAUACUGGGAAGAAUGCUUAUUGACAGCCAUACUUUUGAUCAACAGGCUGCCCUCUAAGGUACUUCAUGGCAAGACACCUUUUUCUAUACUGUUUAACCAGUCACCCUUUUAUGAAAUGCUUAGGAGUUUUGGAUGUCUUUGUUUUGCAUCUACCCUAUCUGGUAGAAGGAUCAAAUUUGAGACUAGGGCUAACACAUGUGUUUUCUUGGGAUAUCCUAUGGGUCAAAAUGGAUAUAAAGUACUAGAAUUAGAUACAAAGAAAGUUGUGGUAUCCCGGGAUGUUCAUUUUCAAGAAACCAAAUUUCCUUUUGCCUCAAACACCUUAUCUCCAGAUCUUAUCUUCCCUACUCCCAUACUAGUAGAAACAACCUUUAUUGAACCUUACCCAACCUCUCCUUUACCUGAACCUAACAAUUCUCAAGCACCCAGUCCUUCAAGAAUUCACUCACCAACUAACACUACUACUCAAUAUCCUCAGUCUUCCUAUCCCUCUGGUCCUAUUCCCUAUGAGGAGCAUCCCACACCAGCAGUGAGAAAGUCCACCAGAGUAACUACAUGGCCUAGUCAUUAAAGGAUUUCAUCUGUAGUAACAUCUACCUCACAGACCCGACGCCCCUCCAAACCUAAUAUUUUUUCUUUUGGAGCUCUCUCUAGUCAUAAUUAGCAGGUAUUGCAAUCUGUAACAACUAUAUCAGAACCUAGCAGCUUUUCUGAAGCAUCUAAGCAUCUUGGGUGGCAGCAAGCAAUGUAAUCAAAGAUUGAUUCUUUGGAAGCUAAUCACACUUGGGAUGUGGUUGUGAGCACGUGAUUUUGCCCUACAUGAAAAUAACUCCUAAAAAAUAGUCCAAAAAUAACUUUUAUUACUUUUAGAAAAUUUCCUAUUUAUUUGCAUUUCAAGCAUUUUUAACAUUUUUAAAUCAUAGGAAAAUCCUAAAAAAUUACUACUUUCGCAUAUUUAUCUUUUAGCCUUUAAAAUUAGCAUUUUUCUUUAGCUUUAAGUUAAUUAGUUGUUUUAAUGUUAAAAAAUAAAUAAAGUAUUUUAAUUUCUACAAAAAUAAAUUAAUUUAGAAUUUUUAAUUUUUUAGGAUUUUUAAUCAAAGAAAAAGAAAACAAAAUAGACAAGAAAUUGAAAAAGCUUGGUUUUAAAUUUAAUUUGAGUCACCCCAAAGAGCAAAUACAAUGGCCCAAGUGUAGUUCUUUACCCCAUUCUCAAACAUUCCAAGCCCCAAAACCCAUGACCUGAACCUACCCAAAGCCUAAAACCUACUCUAUAAGAAAAAAUAACGGACGAAUAAAAGAAGGAGAGGAGGGAAACGCCGCUACAGUGAUUAAAAAAGGACUCCAGCAGCUAACCUUGAUCUCCUUCAUGGGAAACUUAACAAAAAAAAAAACCCUAGAGCUCUAAAGGCUUCAGCCGCAACAGUAAAGAAAAAAAGCAUACGUUGCUUCUUCUUCAAUCAUCUUCCUUACACACAAUGAAGCAGCCAUUGAAAGACCCUAAGAUCUAGACCUAACAUGGCUUGACCAAGAAGCUGUUGCCGCAACACCUCCCUGACCAAGAGAACUUCCCAUCGUUCUGCUCCUUCUCGAGCAAACGGACAGACCCGGACCUCUCGUCUUCAUCUUUUUCAUGACGAUCUAAGCCGGGCACUGAUUUUCAGAAAAAAUCCUGUCCCCCUCGCUCACGUCCGAUUCAGCUUCUGUUUCUCCGGCGACAAAGCCGGAAUCCGGCAACCACCAACACUCACAGGGACAGACACACAAACACACACAUACACCGGGUCGUUCUUGUUUUUCUACUCAAAAGAGAGGUCUUGAGUUAUGCUCUUUGUCCUGCUCAUAUCCGCAUGUUUGUGAGGCUAUUCGUUCAAGUUCAGGUCCGGGAAACAGUUUGGUGUUCGAGGCUGCUGGUUUGAGGAUCGUCGUGUCGGUCUCUUUGUUCAGUCCGUGUAACUGCUGGAGUUUCAUUAAUCGAAAGAAAUUCCAGGUUCAUUUCUGACUUUCAUCUGUUUAAUGGGUUAUAACUGAUUUUGAUUUACAUGUGUUUAUGUGGAAAUAGUAAUUUAGAUUUGUUUUCUUCGAUUAUGGAAUUGGUUCGCUGAGUAUCUUCAUCGACGUAUGGUGUUUGCUUUCACUGGUCUUCCCUCAUUUUACUUGGUCAUUGAUUGAAAUACUAGUCUCAUGUUGGUUGUGUUCUGAAUUUGGAAGUUUGUGUUUUGUUCACUAGCAGUGUGGAACGAAAGUUGAAUUUUGUUAAGUGAAUUGCAUAUUGAUUUUAAGUUUUUCCUGGUUUGUUCAAAUAUUCCGUAUGCAUGGACUUCCCUUAUUUCCAAUUGGUAACAAUGUUUGAGAGUUAUAUGAAAAAUUGGUGAAGUUUAGAUGGCAUGGAAAGCUCAUUGGUUUGAACUAGUUAAUGGCAAAUCUCUUUCAAAAUUGAUGUAAUUAGACUCACUAGAUUGAAUUGUAGUCUUUUAUCAUUUUUUUCGUUAACUAACUAUAAUUGUUUGGUUAUUCAAUUACUUCCAAUGCGAAGGAAGAAGAGGAAAAGAACAAUAUGGAUUGUUGUAAUUUAUUAGCAUUCUUUAAUCGUUUUUGUUUUCUUUCCAGUUUUCUUGACCAUCUCUGGCAAUGUUAGUUUAAUUCAUUUUCCUACUUGAAUUCAGAUAUAUGAGUUAUUAUGAACAUCCGUAGUUUGCAUUAGAUCGACCUUCAAAUAAUAAAUGAGGUGAGUACCACCAAAUAAAAAGCAAAUUACGGGGCCCUCAAUAAUGGUUACAUAAAAUUACUUAGAAUAUGGGAGGGCCGUUUAGCGAAUUUCGCGGCCUUCCCCGGAAUAAUAAUACAUUAGAAUCUUUAGGCGCGUUUUAAUUAAACUAUUUUUUUAAACUCGGGUGUGCAUUGAUGCAACCCAAAUUCAAAUCUCGACGAAGUCAAAAUGUGUUGGCAACCAAGGGUGCCUUGAUGGCGACGUGGUCAGAGACACGUUUUCACGAUGUUGUAAUUCUUUUGAAAAUAAUUAUAAAAGCAGGUUAUAAAUAAAAAGUGCACAUAGGUUAGCAUGUAUGAAAAUUAGAUAAAAUCAAAUAAAACAGUUGCGCGACCGUGCUAGAACCACGGAACCCGGGAAUACCUAGCACCUUCUCCCGGGUUAAGUCCUUAUCCGGAUUUCUAGUUGGCAGACUGCAGUACAAAGUCAUCUUUUUCCUCGGUUCGGGAUUCAAUCGGUGACUUAGGACACCAUAAAUCUCCCAAGUGGCGACUCUGAAUAAUUAAUAACCAAAUCCCGUUUCGAUUGUCCUUUAAUUGAUAUAACUCCUUUAUGCCCUUGCGGUGUAGAUGAAAAAGGAGGUGUGACAGCUCUGGCAGAUUUUGGCCCAAUUUGGGCCACCUACUCCUUUUCAUCCUUUUCCUUCUUUUUUGUCUUGUUUUUUUUUAUUUUCUUCAAUUAUUUCUCUUUUUAUUCCAUUUUUCUAUUUUGUAAUUUUUAUUAUUUUGUGUGAAUUUAUAAAGGUUGCCGAAAUAAAAAUAAACAUCAAACUAAACUAAUUAGUGCCAAAAAUUACUUCAAAAACUAUUUUGCAACAAAUUUCACAAUUAAAACACUUAAAAUGCAAAAUGAACUAUUUUUGUGAUUUUCGUGCUUUGUUAUAAAACAAAUCAACCCCUACUUAACCCUAAAAUUAGAUCCUAAAUGCAAAUGCGUAUUUUUGUAGUUUUCAUAUGAAUGAAGAUGCACAAAUAAGAUGCAAACAAUUAUCAGAGAAAUGACACAAAAAUGCACAAAAAUUGUAAAAAUAAAGAAAAUCACUUAUGUUUGAAUUUUAUGGGAAUAAAUCAUAUAUAAGGCAAACAUCACAUGCUCACAACUGUCCCUCUUUGCUCGGAAACAUGAAAGAUUUUCGGGCAAAGAUAAGUGAGCAAAUACGAGCGAUUUUUGCCCGUUUGAACAUUCCGUGUGAAGCAUUUAAAAAAUAUGACCGCACCCUGCUUCAGAGGUUGCCUACAUAUCCUGGGCUAAACAGGAAUCAGGUCAGUGUUCUGUUGUGAAUUAUUUUUUGAAAAGUUUGACCGCACGCUGCUUCAGAGGUUGCCUACAUAUUCUGGGCUAAAACAGGAAUCAGGUCAGUGUAGUUUUGGAGUGUCUGGUAGAUGGGACUACCAGAAGCUGUGAUUUCACUGUGAUUGUUGCUGCUGCUACUGCUCGCUGACCUUCCUUAUUACACCAAUCAAUAUUAAAAAAAACUAGCCUAAGCUAUGAACUACGAAUUACAAAAAUCCUAUCUAAAUUCUUCAAACUUGCUCUUGUACUUCCUUGUCGUUUUGUUGUCAUGUAUUUUCUCUUGCUGCCUUGUUGUCUUGUGUUUUCUUUGGUGAAACUCAUUGUUGUUACUUCAAAUCGUGCACGGAGAUGUUGUUACUUCCCUCCAAAUUGUUGAACUAGAAUAAACUUGAACUUGAAUGUAUUCCUUGUUAUUCAGGCAAGCUCCUGAUUGCUGAAUUUGAACUUGACUUUAUUCCUCUGUUAUCCAGGCGGACUCCUGACUUCAUGAAAUAGACAAAACAAAGAAAACUUUCUGCCCCAGUUUGGAAACUGGGCACCGUUACCGGAUAUUAAUAAGAAUUUUGACUACAACUUGACUUGAAAUACCUCUGUUAUACAGGGGGGCUCUUGAUUUCAAAACUUGAAUUUUAUACAUCCGUUCUUAAGGCGAGCUCCUGACUUCAACUACAAUUUAAAAUUUAACACCUCCAUUUUCCAGGCGGGCUCCUGAUUUCAACUACUUUAAGAUUUAGCACCUCCAUUAUCCAGGAGGGCUCCUGAUUGCUAAAUAUUUAAUUGUAUGUCUGUAUUCUCCAGGCGGACUCCUGACUUCAGAUUGGACAAAGAAAUCGAUUGAAAACUACACAUUGAAUUGUAUCACCUCUAUUUUUCAAGCGGCAUCCUGAUUGCUAAAAUUUGGGCUGCAUGCCUCUGUUCUCCAGGAGGGCUCCUGAAUACUGAAAUUGAAAUAUAUGUCUCUAUCCUCCAGGUGGGCUCUUGACUCCAAAAAUUUAAAGUGUAUGUCUCUAGUUUCAGGCGGACUCCUGACUAACGAAAUUUGAGAUGCAUGUCCCUGUUUUCCAGGCAGACUCCUGACUUCAAAAAUAGACAAAGAAAUUGAUUGAAAACUAAAAAUGGAUAGUGUCAUCUCUAUUCUUCAGGCGGGCUCCUCACUUUUGAAAUUUAAACUAUAUGCCUCUGUUUUCCAGGCAGGCUCCUGAAUACUGAAAUUGAAAUAUAUGUCUCUGUUCUCCAGGCAGACUCCUGACUUCAAAAAUUUAAACUGCAUGUCUCUGUUCUUUAGGCGUACUCCUGACUUCUAAAACUUGAAAUAUAUGUCUCUGUUCUCCAAGCGGACUCCUGACUUCAAAAUUUGAUAUGCGUACCUCUGUUCUCCAGGUGGGCACCUGACUACCAAAAUAAAUGAAGGAAUUGAUUUGAAACUAACAACUUGAAUUGUAUCACCUCUAUUCUUCAGGCGGGCUCUUGAUUCCAAACUUGAAUUGCAUGUCUCUGUUCUUCAGGCGGACUCCUGAUUGCUAACUUGAAAUGUAUGUCUCUAUUCUCCAAGCGGACUCCUGACUUAAAAAAUUCUAAAUGCAUGGCGGACUCCUGACAAAAAUUCUAAAUGCAUGUCUCUAUUCUCCAGGUGGACUCAAAAAUGCUAAAUGCAUGUCUCUAUUCUCCAGGCGGACUCAAAAAUGCUAAAUGCAUGUCUUUAUUCUCCAGGCGGACUCCUGAAAUUUAAAAUGCGGACCUCUGUUCUUCAGGCGGGCACCUGACUACCAAAAUAAAUGAAGGAAUUGAUUUAAAACUAACAACUUGAAUUGUAUCACCUCUAUUCUUCAGGCGGGCUCCUGAUUCCAAACUUGAAUUGCAUGUCUGUGUUCUUCGGGCGGACUCUUGAUUGCUAACUUGAAAUGUAUUCCUCUAUUCUUCAAGCGGGCUCCUGACUACUAAAACUUGAAAUGUAAUCCUCUAUUCUUCAGGCAUGCUCCUGAUUUCACAAAAAUAGACAAGACAACAAAAAUUUUCUGCCCCAAUUUGGGAAAACUGGGCUUGUUACCACAUACUAAAAAGGAUUGAAACUAAAACUUGAAUUGCGAUAAGACUGAAGUAUAACUCUUAACAUCUAAAUACUGAAAUGUACUCCUCUGUUUUUCAGGAGGGCUCUUGACUUCAACAUCGUUUCAUGCCACUCCUCAUUUUCUUGCAUUCUACUAUAUUGAAGUGUACUCCUCUGUUUUUCAGGCGGGCUCCUGACUUCAACAUCUCUUCAUGUCACUCCUCAUUUUCUUGCAUUUUACCCAUGCCACACUAGCGGUUGAUUACUACCUACUUUUUCUUCACGAAAAAUUCCUCCCGACAAACAAUUUUAUGCCCCUGUUUCAAUCACCGAAAAUUUGUUAGUUUAAAAAUGGUGGUUAGCUGAUGGCAUUCUUGUUGCAUCAUCCUUCCAUUUCCUUGCUUUGUGUUGCCUGACUUCCUCUGAAUUGCCUGACUUUUUGACCGAAUUUCACGUUCCCCAAUUUCUGACAACCUGAUUGCUUUUGUACUCCCACUGUUGUUUCAUCUUUCCAACUUUCUUUGCAUGAACCUUCAUAUUUCCCACAACAUUUCCCAAAUAUUCUGCUGAUGAAACUUCCGGCGAUUUCCCCUAUCUCACUUUACAUCAAAUUGUUGCUGACAUACUCUAGCCACAUUAUGCUUUACCAUUUUCGGAAGCUGAUAGUGGGCUUUGAAAGCCUUUCCCCUUUUUAUUGAACAAAACUGAUAUUGGAGCAUUUUAGACAAACAAACCCCCAGAAGAGAGUGAAAUGCAAUAAUUUUAUGAGUUAAGGAUAAGAAGAAUCCAAAACUAGAUUACUAUUGAAAAGGACAAGAAAAAGAAACUUAUCUGACCGGAACAUCUGGCAUCAGUGAUCACGACAUGCAUUUUCGGACUAACCGGCCCAACUAACCAGCUCUUCAGUUGUCAUACUUCCGUUCCCAGAACUUCCAUCACUUACCCAAACCUUAAACUCAUUUAUCCUACAAUGCCACGAACAUUUUUUCACCACCAGACCUUUCUAAGUUUGCCAUUUCUCAAACUCAUUUUCUCCCUAGGAUGCUCGUGAGUGUUUUCACCACUAAGACUCUCAAAUGAAUAUUUAAAAUAUUUUUUUUUGGUUUAUUCUUUAGAUUUUCUUCCUUAAAAAAAAGGGUCAAAAAAAAUAUUUUUCUCUUCUAGGAUUUUUCCUUAAUAUAGUAUCUUCGAAAAAUUGAGUUUGGAUUUCUAGGAUUUUUCCUUAAUAGUGUAUUUGCUUCUAGGAUUUCUCUUCUUGUGUUUGCUUAAAAGAGACCUUGAGUUUAGAAUAGGUUAUAGAACAUUCAUUCUAGAAAAUUCAAAAAAAAAAAAAGAUUUGCUGCUUCAUUUCUCUUUUCUCAUCAGAUUUAAAAAAAGGGGAAUAUCAGUUUGUUUACUUUAUUCCCGUUUUUCCCAAACUACGCAAAGAUAUGAUUCAUGCAAGGUCAUGAUACGUAGGCAACCUACGUAGGGUUCGAUCGAAUCAUUUUUGUUAUUGUUAAGAGAAAAGAAAAAAGAAAAAAAAAGGGAAAACAAGAGGGUGAAAUUAUGGGACGUGAGAAAUGAGAGGAAAGAAAAUAGCGAUAAUUAGGAAAAAGAGAAAGGAAAAUGAUAAAGCAAGUGGUAGAAAAGCAAAGGAAAGAGAGGAUUGAAAUAGACAAAUUGGGAUGAUGCCAAGUGACCUUGUGACCCUCGAAGUCAUUCUUGAACCGUUAAUUGUUGCUAGGUGCAUUACACGAAAUGUGAUAUUUUAGUUCUUAAAUGCCCUAACGCUAACAUGAUGACUUCAUUUUGUUCUCCUCAUAAAAGCAUAAGGGUGGUUUAUUUUUGGUUUUUAAGGUAAUUCGUCCAUACAACACAAGGUCAAAGGGCAAGGUAGUCAUGGCUAGAAACAGCUUGGGCACAAGAGUAGUUGAUCCCUCAAGGGAGUCGGUGGAGUUGGAGUCCGAAUUAAAAGAGGAGCUCCAAAGGGUAUUAGUCUUGGAUCAGGGGGCAUCCUACAUCCUCAUUCCCCACUAACUACUCGGGAAACCCUGUAACUAUCUAUCCACUAUCAGAAAUCCAGAUUCCCACUACUGCUAAUGUUUCCCUACAACCUUUUCACACCCUACCCGCCGAAACCACCUCAUAAUACCACUCAUUUGGCCACUCAUGCUCUAGCAGCUCCUCCACCAGCUAUUUUCCUCGAUCCUCUAACGAGACUGUGUUCAAAGUCCCUGAUUCCCAACACUAUGUUCCAGAACCAAGUUUCAAAGUCUUGGAUCCAUACUCUCACGCUCCUCAUUUUGAGGCUCCUGGUGAAACUGAAAAGCCUGGUUAGACAGCGGUGCAAGAUGAGAUAUCUAGGAAGGUGAAAUCGUAGAGCAGGUUUUAAGAAACAUGCAAGGGAGAGGGAGCCAGAUGGGCGUGGCAUAUAAAGACUUGUGCUUGUUUCCUGUCGUCCAACUGCCUGCUGGGUUUAAAAUGCCGAAGUUUGAUUUAUAUGACAGGCACGGAGAUCCCGUGGCUCAUUUGAGAGGUUAUUGCAGUAAGAUGAGAGGCGCCAGUGGGAAAUGCAAAUUAUUGAUGGCGUAUUUAUGUCAGAGUCUAAGUGGGGCAACUUUGGAGUGGUACACCCGCCAAGAUGCUAAUAGCUGGUACAUUUGGGAUGAUAUGGCUCAGGCCUUUGCUAGGCACUAUCAUUAUAAUAUGGAAAUCGUCGCGGAUUGCAGGUCCCUCGCCAAGAUGGAAAAGAGGCCUAAUGAAAGCUUUAGGGAGUACGGGCUCAGAUGGAGAGAGCAAGUUUCCAGAGUCGAUCCUCCAAUGAAAGAAAAAGAGAUGGUCAACUACUUUCAUCAAGCUCUAGAACCAACUUACUUUGGGCAUUUGAUCUCGGCUGUGGGUAGGCCUUUUAAUGAUGUGGUAAGAAUGGGCGAAAUGGUAGAAGAUGGGUUGAAGUCUAGUAAGCUCAUGAGGUAUUCCGCUUUAAAAGCCACAACACAAGCAAUCCAAAGCGACACCAGAAGCUCGCUGGGUCAGAAGGAACAUGAUGAUGUUGCCAUGGUUGUUUCAGAGUCACUACAUAGACCAAAGGAUCCGCCUCACCAAUACACCCAGCCUCAACCCCAAUCCCAAACAUAUCCUUAAGAAUGGGAGAAAUGGUAGAAGAUGGGCUGAAGCCUAGCAAGCUCAUGAGUUAUUCUGCUUUAAAAGCCACAUCACAAGCAAUUCAGAGCGACACCGGAAGCUCGCUUGGUCAGAAGGAACACGAUGAUGUUGCCAUGGUUGUUUCAGAGUCACGACAUGGACCAAAGGAUCCGCCUCACCAAUAUACCAGCCUCAAAUCCAAGCCCUAACCUAUCCCUGAGCUCCACAUAAUCCACCUCAGGAUUAUCUUCUGAACAAUAUCUGGUCAUAUGUCCAACUACCAGGUCACUCCCUACGGCAAGCGCUAGCACCGGAUAAUGCAUUCUUUCCUUCACAACAUUUUUGAGCACCCAAAACCCAAGUAAACAGGAGCAGUGAAGGGAACAAAGGAAAAGAAAUAGCUUCACGCCAAUUGGGGAGUCCUACACAAGCUGGUUUGAAAAGUUACAAUAUUCUGGCCUGAUUGAGCCGCUCCUCGGCUAUACUCCAGACACAUAUGCAAAAGGAUUUGAUCCUACUGUACGCUCCAUGUACCACUCUAAUGUCCAAGGGCAUAGCAUUGAAGAUUGUCGUUCUUUGAAAAAGGAAAUAGAAAGAAUGAUUCAAGAAGGGGUAAUUGUGAUCAAUGACAGUGACCGGGAGCACGCAAAUCCUCUUGGGAACUUGUUGACUGAAGUUGACGAUAUUAAAAUUAGUAAUGGUCUUGGAUAGUGACUGAGAGCACACGAAUCCUCUUGAGAACUUGUUGAAUGAAGUUGAUGAUAUUGAAGUUGGUAAUGUUCUCGGUAAUAUCGAUGCAGAACUCAGUGGCUAAGAUGUCGUGCUUGGUUAUGGGAAAGACACUCCAUCUCUUGGUCAGCCGGAGAGGAGCUUGGUCGCUUAGUUUGUUGUCAUUUCUGUUGUUCGGAUUUUUUCAGGGUUGUAAUCUGGAUAUUGUCUUGUGACUCAAACCCUUAAAUCCUGUUAUUUUUCCUAGUUUGUGUAGUCGUAGUAGCUCAUUUAGUGUUGUAUAGGUUUGUUCCAAGGUUGUAACCCCAGUUUAGUUUGCUUAUUUUUUUGUUCGAACCGUUUCACCAUUUGUCUAGUGCAAUUUCUUGUCUUUGUUUUUUCUAUCCUUUUGUUUAGUGCUGGUUCUGGUGACAUGACAUGCACGUGUAAUUCUCAACCUGAGCUCAAAAGUUAGUUUAAGACAGAAGGGGCAUUUGAGGGAAAUAAGAACAGAUUUGGAAACUUUGAGAUUAUUUGAAUCCCGAACCAUGUGAAACUUGGGCAAGUAAAACAUAAAAAAACAGUAAAAGCAAGUUGGCCAAAUUGACAGGGGGCCUUUAGUGGUAAUGAGAGCAAGAGUGUUUCCCAAUGGUGCGUUGUAUUUAAUGGAUGAAGAAGGAAAAUGUGCGGAUAUGGUUAUCAAGUCUGGCACUACCAUAAGAUGUUACGGAUGCUUGUUUAAUUGUGUUGUUUAUAUUUGGCAUGUUUUGAAUAUUGGAAUGACGAAGGCACUUUAUUCUGCUAUCUAAAGUUUAAUUGUGUUGUUUGUACUUGACAUAUUUUGAAGAUUGGAAUAACGAAGGCACUUUAUCUGCUAUCUAAAAACUUUAUCCUUCGUCACCCCUUUUGAGCCUUAUUUAGUUUCUUUCAUACCCCUAUUUGGGAAUCAGUAGCAAGGAUCAGAAAUACAAGCGUGAAGGAUAAGUAAAGAAAAAGAGAAGAAAAAGAAUGAAAAAGAGAGAGAAGAAGAAAAAUAAGAAAAGAAAAGAAGGAAAGAGAAAAAGAAAAGAAAAGAAAAGAAAAGAAAGGAAAGAACUGAAAGAAAUGAAAGAAAAGAAAUAAAAAGAAAGAGAAAUGAAAGGAAAUGAAUAACAGAAAAACAAAAGCAAAGAAGAAAGGAAAAUCACAACAAUGUAAUUUUGAUAACGUGAACUACGUUUGACUUGAUCCCUAAAGGGUAUGUAGGCAGCCUCUCUCUAAGGUUCAGUCUCAUCAAAAUAAAUUCCAAAAGUCCCCAAGCAUGAAACUGGGGCAGAAGUUGGGGUUGUUGUGAGAAAGGACAAUCGAAACGGGAUUUGGUUAUUAAUUAUUUAGAGUCGCCACUUGGGAGAUUGAUGGUGUCCUAAGUCACUGAUUGAAUCUCGAAUCAAGGAAAAAGAUAACUCUGUACUACAGUUUGCAAACCAGAAAUCCGGAUAAGGAAUUCUGUUAAUCCGGGAGAAGGUGCUAGGCAUUCCUGGGUUCCGUGGUUCUAGCACGGUCGCUUAACUGUUGUAUUUUGAUUUUCAUACAUGCUAACCUAUGUGCACUUUUUAUUUAUAAACCUCUUUUAUAAUUAUUUUCAAAAGAAUUGCUACAUCGUGAAAACGUGUCUCUGACCACGUAGCCAUCAAGACACCCGUGGUUGUCAACACAUUUCGACACCGUCGAGAUUUGGAUUUGGGUUGCAUCAAUGCACAAGUGAGUUUAAGAAAGUAAUUUAAUUAAAACGCGUCUAAAGAUUCUAAUGUCUUACUAUUUCGGGGAAGGCUGCGAAAUUUGCUAAACGGACCUCCCAUAUUCUAAGUAAUUUUAUGUAACCAUUAUUGAGGGCCCCGUAAUUUGUUUUUAUUUGGUGGUACUCACCUCAUUUAUUAUUUGAAGGUCGGCCUAAAGCAAACUACGUAUGUUCAUAAUAACUCAUAUAUCUGAAUUCAAGUAGGAAAAUGAAUUAAACUAACAUUGCCAGAGAUGAUCAAGAAAAUUGGAAAGAAAACAAAAACAAUUAAAGAAUGCUAAUAAAUUACAUCAAUCCAUAUUGUUCUUUUCCUCUUCUUCCUUCGCAUUGGAAGUAAUUGAAUAACCAAACAAUUAUAGUUACUUCACGAAAAAAAUGAUAAAAGACUACAAUUCAAUCUAGUAAGUCUAAUUACAUCAAUUUUGAAAGAGAUUUGACAUUAACUACUGUUCAAACCAAUGAGCUUUCCAUGCCAUCUAAGCUUCACCAUUUUUCAUAUAACUCUCAAACAUUGUUACCAAUUGGAAAUAAGGGAAGUUCAUGCAUACUGAAUAUUUGAACAAACCUGGAAAAACUUAAAACCAAUCUUCAAUUCACUUAACAAAAUUCAACUUUCGUUCCACACUGCUAGUGAACAAAACACAAACUUCCAAAUUCAGAACACAAUCAACAUGAGACUAAUAUUUCAAUCAAUGACCAAGUAAAAUGAGGGAAGACCAGUGAAAUCAAACACCAUACGUCGAUGAAGAUACUCAUCGAACCAAUUCCGGAACCGAAGAAAACGAAUCCAAAUUACUAUUUCCACAUAACCACAUGUAAAUCAAAAUAAGUUAUAACCCAUUAAACAUAUGAAAGUCAGAAAUAAACCUGGAAUUUCUUUCGAUUAAUGGAACUCCAGCAGUUACACGGACUGAACAAAGAGACCGUUGCGACCUGGACUCGACACGACGAUCCUCAAACCAGCAGCCUCGAACACCAAAAUGUUUCCCGGACCUUAACUUGAUCGGAUAUCCUCACAAACACGGGGAUAUGAGCAGGACAAAGAGCAGAACUCAAGACCUAUCCUUUGAGUUGAAAACAAGAACGGCCCAGUGUAUGUGUGUGUCUGUCCGUGUGAGGGUUGGUGGUUGCCGGAUUUUGGAUUUUAUCGCUGGAGAAACAGAAGCCGAAUCGGACGUGAGCGAGGGAGACAGGAUUUUUUCUGAAAAUCAGCGCCUAGCUUGGAUCGUCAUGAAGAAGACGAAGACGAGAGGUCCGGAUCUGUCUGUUUGCUCGAGAAGGAGCAGAACGAUGAGAAGUUCUCUUGGUCAGGGAGGUGUUUUUCGUUGGUGUUGCGGCAAUAGCUGCUUGGUCAAGCCAUGUUAGGUUCAGCUCUUAGGGUCUUUCUAUGGCUGCUUCAUUGUGUGUGAGGAAGAUGACCGAAGAAGAAGCAGCGUAUGCCUUUUUCUCUACUGUUGCGACUGAAAGUAGGAGUGUUCAAAACCGAUCCGAAACCGAAAACCGAUCCAAAUCGAAGCUUAACGGCUUACUGGUAANNNNNNNNNNNNNNNNNNNNNNNNNNNNNNNNNNNNNNNNNNNNNNNNNNNNNNNNNNNNNNNNNNNNNNNNNNNNNNNAACGGCUUACUGGUAACGGCUUAACGGCUUAACGGACGGGGAACAGAUUGAAUUUUUUUUAUUAACGGCUUAUCGGUUUGGGGAUGGAUUAUUGAAUUUUCUUAACGGCUAAUCCGUUAACCCAUUAAGAAUAUAAAAUAUAUUUUAUAUAUAUAAUUUAUUUUUAUUUAUAUAUAUUAAAUAUAAAAAACUAAAACCCUUGAAAAUNNNNNNNNNNNNNNNNNNNNNNNNNNNNNNNNNNNNNNNNNNNNNNNNNNNNNNNNNNNNNNNNNNNNNNNNNNNNNNNNNNNNNNNNNNNNNNNNNNNNNNNNNNNNNNNNNNNNNNNNNNNNNNNNNNUUUGCUUUCAUUGUAAUUUAAGUAACAACUUAUGUUAUGGUUGCUAUGAUGUUGACCAGUUUGAUAUUUUCUCCAACUACUUUGAUUUGGAAUGGAGUAUUGUGAUAUCUUCCCCGUUCGUAUGAUACAAGAGUGUGAACUAAGGCAAAGAGGGUGCAGCACACUAUCUAUCCAUGACUGUUUGACUGAAUUCUUGUUUAGAGAGAAAGGUUAUUAUUUUAUAUUAAUGUGGAUACCAGGGAGUUAAAAGCUUUGUUGGAGGACAAGGACAACAAAUUUGGUAGAGAGCAACAUGAUUUGAUAGUAGCAAACUGUUUGUUAAGUAGUCUACUGUUUUGGUCAUAGAUAUCACAUCUGCUUAUCAUUUUUUUUCACUGUUACUCUAUUGUAUUUGGAGAUGCGAAGGCGAACCUUGGAGCAACAGUAAAGUUGUAUCUGUGUUACCUAUAAGUCACGUGUUCGAGCCGUGGUAGCAGUCAUAAAUCGAGUUAAUAGCCUUGUUGAAGGACAAGGACAGCAAAUUUGGUAGAGAGCAACAUGAUUUGAUAAUAGCAAACUGUUUGUUAAGCAGUCUACUGUUUUGGUCACAGAUAUCACAUCUGAUUAUCAUUUUUUUUCAUUGUUACUCUAUUGUAUUUGGAGAUGCGAAGGGGAACCUUGGAGCAACAGUAAAGUUGUAUCUGUGUUACCUAUAAGUCACGAGUUCGAGCUGUGGUAGCAGCCAUGAAUGCCUGCAUUAGAGUAGGUUGUUUACAUCACACCCUUAGGGUGCGAUUCUUCCUCGGACCUGCUGCAACUGGUAUCUGAUAAUCGUGGUAGCAGCCAUAAAUGCCUGCAUUAGAGUAGGUUAUUUACAUCACACCCUUAGGGUGCGAUUCUUCCUCGGACCUGCUGCAACUUGUAUCUGAUAACAUUUUUGAUUAGUUUUUGAUUUUUGUAAUAAAUCACGUGUAUUAGGUGCAAAAUAGGUUUUGCUUUGAGCUUCUUGGUAAUAGCUUAAGUAGUAGUUUGAUGUUGGUCUUUGUUAGGUGCCAUUUUGGUUAUUGGAUAUUUGAUUAAACUGAAGCCUUUAGAGCUCUAGGGUUUCUUUUUUGUUAAAUUUCUCAUGAAGGAGAUCAAGGUUGGACGUGGAGUCAUUUUUAAAUCACUGUAGCGGCGCUGCCCUCCUCUCCUUCUUUUAUUCAUCCGUUAUUUUUUCUUAUAGAGUAGGUUUUAGGCUUUGGGUAGGAUCGGGUCAUGUGUUUUGGGGCUUGGAUUGUUUGAGAAUAGGGUAAAAGAACUACACUUGGGCUAUUGUAUUUGCUUUUUGGGGUGGCCCAAAUUAAAUUUAAAACCAAGCUUUUUCAAUUUCUUGCCUAUUUUGUUUUCUCUUUCUUUGAUUAAAAUACCUAAGAAAUUAAAAAUCCUAAAUUAGUCUAUUUUUGUAGAAAUUAAAAUACUUUAUUUAUUUUUUUAACAUUAAAACAACUAAUUAACUUAAAGCUAAAGAAAAAUGCUAAUUUUAAAGGCUAAAAAGAUAAAUAUGCAAAAGUGACAAUAUUUUAGAAUUUUUUAUGAUUUAAAAAUGUUAAAAAUGCUUGAAAUGCAAAUAAGUAAAAUUCCUAAAAGUAACAAAAGUUAUUUUUGGACUAUUUUUUAGGAGUUAUUUUCAUGUAGGGCAAAAAUCACGUGCUCACAGCUGCCCCACUUUGCUCAGAAACCCGAAGGAUUUUCGUGCAAAGAUAAAGCGAGCGAAUACAAGCGAUUCUUGCCCAUUUGGAUACUCCACGGACAGUGGUUAUCUUACCAAUAGGAAAGAAAGCUUUACCCUGUAAAUGGGUUUACAAGGUCAAACAUAAGUUAGAUGGGUCACUUGAAAGGCUUAAAGCACUACUAGUAGUCAGGGGGGCAUCCAACGUGAAGGCAUAGACUACACUGAGAUAUUCUCCCAUGUGGUAAAAAUGACCACUAUACGAUGCUUAUUAGCCAUUGCAGUUAAGAAAGACUAGCCCAUUCAUCAAAUGAAAGUCAAUAAUGCAUUCCUACAUGGUACUUUGCAAGAAGAGGUCUUUAUGAAGUUUCCAGAAGGAUUAUCUCCACCUACUGUCAACCAUGUAUGUCUAUCGAAGAAAUCCUUGUAUGGAUUAAAACAUGCAUCACGACAGUGGUAUGCCCGUCUUGCAGGUUCCUUAAGUUAUAAAGGCUGCUCCUUAUCUCUAAAUGAUUGUUUCCUAUUUUUUAAAAGGAGGAAUAACCUAAUCUCAGUUGUAACUGUUUAUGUUGAUGACAUUCUCAUUAGCGGAGAUAAUGCAGAAGAGAUUACUAAUCUUAAGUCCUUUCUCAACUCUGAAUUCAAAGUCAAGGACUUGGAAAACUUACAUUAUUUUAUAGGCAUGGAAAUACUUCGAGAAAAACAGGGCAUAAUUAUGUGUCAACGUAAGUUUACCUUGAAUUUAUUGAAGGAAUUUGAUGUCUCUGCUCUUCCUUGUGUUUCUUCACCUCUGGAACCUUCUGUCAAAUUGAGUACUGAAGACGGGCCUCUGCUCAGUGAUCCCACCAUUUAUCGACACCUUGUGGGGAAGUUGAACUAUCUAACCCACACAAGGUCCGACUUAUCCUUCACAGUUUUGAAGUUAAGUCAGUAUAUGCAGCAACCCAGGUUUUCUCACUUCACAGCUGCCCUUCGAGUAUUGAGAUACUUGAAAUCAGACCCAAGUCAAGGGAUCCCUCACUCUCUUUACUAGCAUUUUGUGAUGCUGACUGGGCCUCUUGUCCAGACAAUAGAAGAUCUGUUAGCGGCUUCUACAUCACACUUGGGGGUUCUCCAAUUUCUUGGAAAUCGAAGAAACAAGCCUUUGUCUCUUUAUCGUCAGCUGAAGCAGAGUAUCGCUCUAUGCGUAGAGUUGUUGCUGAGCUCACUUGGCUCACACGUCUUCUCUCUGAUAUCUCUGUAUCUCCAUCUUUGCCCGUGCCGAUCUUCUCUGAUAGCAAAGCUGCUAUCAACAUUGCUCGAAACCCAGUCUUCCAUGAAAAGACGAAGCAUGUCGAAAUCGAUUGCCAUUUUGUUCGGCAACAGUUCCUUUUUGGACUGAUUUCCCUGUCCUUUGUUCCAUCCUCGUCUCAACUCACAGAUCUAUUCACCAAAUCUCUCUCAGUUCCUUCACAUAAAUCUGCCAUUGGCAAGCUGGGGGUAAUUUUUUUACCCUCCACCUUGAGGAGAGAUGUUGAGAAGAAGUCACUAAUGGCAGCUAUGGCUAUGGGAGUUGGUCUUUCUCAUAAAGAAGAAGAAGAAAGGGCGCAAGCUUUCAGACAAAAUAGACAAAAAUUUCAGAUACUUCUAGGUCACAUUUGGACUCUUAUUUGCAUGAUAGAUUAAAUCAUAAACAUUCAGAUGAGAACACCACGACUUAUUCUACACCUACACUACACUAGAUUCCAAACCUGAAAAUCUGUCACAUGGGAUAUAUACAUAGCAAAAGAAUAUUCUUUAGUUACCUUUUG